AAGUCGUAACAAGGUUUCCGUAGGUGAACCUGCGGAAGGAUCAUUAUCGAGUUCUGACUGGGUUGUAGCUGGCCUUCCGAGGCAUGUGCACGCCCUGCUCAUCCACUCUACACCUGUGCACUUACUGUGGGCUUCAGAUCGUAAAACGCGGGUCCCUUUACCGGGCUUGCGGAGCGUGUCUGUGCCUGCGUUUAUCACAAACUCUAUAAAGUAUCAGAAUGUGUAUUGCGAUGUAACGCAUCUAUAUACAACUUUCAGCAACGGAUCUCUUGGCUCUC
RNAcentral lists this unclassified non-coding RNA (278 nucleotides) under Ganoderma sp. Its description in RNAcentral is "partial internal transcribed spacer region". The stretch from base 1 to 46 matches the Rfam family "Eukaryotic small subunit ribosomal RNA", at positions 1786 to 1831 of the family's 1831-position model. The record is from RNAcentral. Lineage: Eukaryota; Fungi; Basidiomycota; Agaricomycetes; Polyporales; Polyporaceae.